UGUGUGUGGGGGUGUGUGUGUGUGUGAGGGAGGUAGGGUGGUGUAUAAAUCGGUCUCUACACACAAUGAUUGUUUGUGAACCUUUUGGCAUUCCACACAGCAGAGCGGUUCUCUUUCAGAGCGCAGCGUCAGCCUCCUUUAGGAUGAAGGGAUGCUGCAGCUCGAACAGAGGACAAAAAAUGAAGAAGCUCUCCCGAAAGCUGGCUUUAGCUGCGGCUGCUCUGUUCUGGAUAGCGGCUCUGCUGUAUGUGAUCCUCCUGAACAGUCGGAGGAUCCCUGAGACACAGAGACAGAGAGAGAAAGAAAAAGAGAUAUCAAAUACAGAAUGGGAUGAUCUCUUGGAUGAGUUCGAAGAGAAGAACUACCUCAACGCUGACAGGUGGAAGCCAGGCCAAGAUCCUUACAGUCAGUAUGCUUUCAAUCAAAGAGAGAGCGAGAGGAUCCCCAGCAACAGAGCACUUAAAGACACCCGACAUUACAGGUGUACAAUGCUGCACUAUGACACUGAGCUGCCAUCCACCAGUAUAGUGAUCACACUGCACAACGAAGCCCGCUCCACUCUACUGCGUACACUGAGGAGUGUGCUGAAUCGGACGCCUGUGCAUCUGAUUCAUGAGAUCAUCCUGGUGGACGACUUCAGUGUGGAUCCAAGUGACUGUCUUUUUCUCACCAAGUUACCUAAAGUCAAGUGUCUUCGCAAUAAACAAAGAGAAGGGUUGAUCAGGUCCAGGGUUCGAGGGGCAGAUGCUGCUGAAGCAGAAGUCCUCACCUUCCUCGACAGCCACUGUGAGGUCAACAAAGACUGGCUGCCUCCACUGCUUCAGAGGAUCAAAGAGGACCCAAGUUGUAUUGCCAGCCCAGUGAUAGACAUCAUCAACAUGGACUCAUUUGCCUACAUUGCUGCUUCCUCAAACCUACAGGGUGGCUUUGACUGGAGUCUCCAUUUCAAGUGGGAACAGCUAUCUGCUGAGAAGAGAGCCAAGAGAGUCAACCCCACAGAACCUAUUAAGACACCUGUUCUUCCUGGAGGGCUCUUUGUAACCAGCAAAUCCUGGUUCAACCACCUGGGGAAAUAUGACACAGCCAUGGAUAUCUGGGGGGGAGAGAACUUUGAGAUCUCGUUCAGGGCGUGGAUGUGUGGGGGAAGUCUGGAGAUUGUCCCAUGCAGCAGAGUCGGCCAUGUUUUCCGCAAGAAACACCCAUACAUCUUUCCAGAUGGCAAUGCCAAUACUUAUAUUAAGAACACAAGACGUACUGCUGAGGUGUGGAUGGAUGAGUUUAAAAUCUUCUAUUACUCUGCUCGACCGGCAGCCAGGGGCAAGUCCUAUGGAGACGUUCGUGGUAGACAACAGCUAAGAAAGAGUCUGAAAUGUAAAUCCUUCCAGUGGUAUUUGGACAAUGUCUAUCCAGAGCUCAAAGUUCCAGAUAAUUCACAUUCGAAAUCUGGAGUGAUCCAGCAAAGGCAGAACUGUCUUGAAGCUCAGCAAGCUGAGGGGCAGGAUGUUCCAGUGCUCAAGCUUGCCCCAUGCAUCAGCACCAAAACUGCCAACCAGGAGUGGAUCUACACACAUGGACAGCAGAUUCGCCAGCAGCAUGUCUGCCUGUCCGUCUCUACCACAUUGCCUGCCUCACAGAUCCUACUCGUGCCCUGCAACAUCAGCGACAGCAAACAGCGCUGGCAGAAAACAGGCACCCACCUGGAGCACCAAGUAUCACACUUCUGUCUGGACAGUGAGAUGGCUUUGGAUGCUGUCUAUGGCAGUGGGAUUUUGGUGAUCAGCCCAUGUGAGCUCUCAGUGCAAACACAGAGAUGGGAAAUGCCUUUUUCUUGAUCCUGAGCUUUUCCAGGCCAAAAAGUGAGAGAGGCUCCUGUGUGAAGGGAACUGUAGGGAAGACAACACCAAUUGCAGUCACUUCCAUUGUCUGAAGCUGAAGAGGAUCCCUGAAAUGUCAAGAAGAACAGAAAUGAGCAGCUGGGCACAUGUGCAACCCUGAGCUUUAAAAUAACUAAGAAGUACAGAAACACACACACACACACACACACACACACACACACAAACACACACACACACAACUGUGAAAAAGUAUUUGUCCUCUCCCUGAUUUCUUCUACUUUUCAUAUUUGUCUCACUUAUUAUUUUCAGAUUUUCAAACAAAGAAAACACAAAAUAGAAUGUACUUACAUAACUGUUUAAUUUAUUGAAGAAAAAAGGUUAUCCAACACUAGCUGGCUUUAUGUGGUGAAAAAGUAAUUGCCCCCUUUGUGACGCAAUCAACCAACUAACCAAAUUUUAUUUGAUUUGAUCAUUUGAUUUGAUUACUGCCAGACCUGUUGAAUCUAAACAUCAAUAUGCACCUUGAUGACCCCGAGCCUUUUGGGAUAAUGUUCUGCGGACUGAUGAGUCAAAAGUGGAAAUAUUUGGAAGACAUGUGUCUUGCUACAUCUGCCAUGAAGCUAACUGAGCAUUCCACAAUAAGAACAUAUGAAACAUGGUGGUAGUAGUGUGAUGGUGUGGGAAUGCUUUGCUGCUUCAGGGCAACUUGGCAUAAUUGAUGGAAUCAUGAAUUCUGCUCUCUACCAGACAAUCCAGAAGGAGACUGUCCAGGCAUGAGUCUGUUAUAUGAAGCUCAAGCGCAGUAAGGUUAAGCACCAAGACAACGAUCUGAAGCACAAGAGCAGGUUCACCACUGAAUGUUUCAAAAGCAAUAACGUGAAGGUUUUGGGUUGGCCUGGUUAAAAUCCUGACUUCAACCCUACUGAGAUGCUGUAGCAGGACCUUAAGGAGGCAGUUUGUGCUGAAAAGCUUUCUAAUGUGGCUGAAUUGAAGCAAUUCUGCAAAGUAUAGCCAAAAUUCCUCCACGGUUACAUGAACGAUCAGUUAUCAGAAGCAUUUAGUGCUAAAGGAAUUCAGGGAAGGGACAAAUACUUUUUCAUGGCACUGUGGCAUUUACCUAGGUCAUCUCAAAGCGUCAUGCGGUAAAUCUGCUUGUUCCUUGUACUGUAUAUCAUUUAAUAAAUUGUCUAUGAUUCUUAAUAACAGGGCUACCAUAUACUUGCGGAAUAUACUGUUUACAUAUUGUUGAUUACUUUGGACUAUGUAGGCUAACAAACACAUGCACUUGAUAUCCAAAAGUAUAUUUAAUUCUGCUUUUGGUGAGAGAGAAGAUAUUGUUGAUAAAGUUUUAUUCGCCUCCAUAUCCAGCAAACAGCAUUAUAACUUGCCCUAGAUCUAAACAGAGGACUAACCACAGUGCUGACCAGGAAUGUAGAAGUAUUCUGACAAGAAUGAGGCUCCUGCUCCAUCACGCUGAGCUUCGUCCACUAGAGGUGAAGGAAUACGUCUGUUUUAAGGUCAUUUCUCUCUACAUGCAGAAACAUAACAGAAAUGGUUAGAAGCUUCACAAUUGCAAUGGAGGCUUUACUCUGUGGUCCUCCAGCAAUCAAGGUACAGCAGUGUCAACCCUAACCUUGUAGUACAGUUGCCCAAGUGACUGGACUAUCCAAUAAUGUAUGAACUGGUUUAAAUAGCCCUUGUGCAUGCUCAGAAGUGUAUUGAAGCUGCGACCUGAGAAAAAAGGUAUGCAUACUGGUUCCAGUGGCAGAUGCAGAAGAGGUAGCGCUGAGCACUAGUGGUCUUAUUAGUGCUACAGGCUGAUAAAACUCUGCACUUAAAUGCAAGCGCAUGUACCUCAAUUAAAAUGACCUGAAAUUAAUAGUUUGUGGUUAGUAGGUUGUUUCCCUAACAUGCUGCACAGUUACUCUUCGCCUUUAAUGACAUAAUAAUGCCCAUAAAUGGGUACAGAAUUCCUACAUGCAACACUAAUCAAGCAGUGGUUAGCAGGGAGAUAAAGCACUGAAACGCAGUAGAUGACUGGUAUUGUUAACACAAUGAGAAGGCAAGUUGCGACGAGAGCAAGGUGACUUAAACACCGAAGGAAUGGUACAAACACACUGCACCACCUGCUGGCAGUAGCUGCUAGGUGAUUGGCACUAGGGUGCACUAAAUCAGAGAUUCUCAACCUUUUGUAACUAAAAUCCUCCCAAGCAUCCCCGAUCAUGUGCCAUGCCCCCCAACAUAUUGGAGGAGACCAGGUAUAAUGAUUAUCUAUUCUAUAUAUUCAAUUCAAUUAAAUUUUAUUUGUAUAGCGCUUUUAACAAUGGACAAUGUCUCAAAGCAGCUUUACAGAAACAUAUAAACACAGGAUACAGAUUUUAAGUGUGUGAAUUUAUCCCUAAUGAGCAAGCCAGUGGCGACGGUGGCAAGGAAAAACUCCCUAAGAUGAUAUGAGGAGGAAACCUUGAGAAGAGCCAGACUCAGAAGUUAACCCAUUCUCAUCUGGGUAACAACAGAUAGUGUGAAAGUUAAGGAAAGUUCAUUAUGGUUUUUAUAUGAAGUCUGUUUUGUUUAAUGGAUCCACUGUUCACUAAGGCCAUAGCAGCAACCAUAGUCCCAGCAACCACAGCGAGAAUGUCCAUGUGGAAUUGAGGUCCAAAACCAUUUCCAUGGUACUUCAAGCGGCACCAUCCUCAGCAAUCUCCAGGCUGCACUGCUUGGGGUCAUCCUCAGUGGCAGAAUGUAGCCUCCAGUUGAUGGGAGCUCCAGCCAGAGGUAGGGCAU
This is an RNA transcript of Ictalurus furcatus (blue catfish), 4619 nucleotides long. It is a transcript of the gene named UDP-N-acetyl-alpha-D-galactosamine:polypeptide N-acetylgalactosaminyltransferase 14 (GalNAc-T14), with no coding region annotated. The record is from RefSeq and is a predicted model, not a curated record. Lineage: Eukaryota; Metazoa; Chordata; Actinopteri; Siluriformes; Ictaluridae. The transcript is spliced from 16 exons.